Long non-coding RNA from Ceratitis capitata (Mediterranean fruit fly), 1659 nucleotides. RefSeq lists it as uncharacterized. Lineage: Eukaryota; Metazoa; Arthropoda; Insecta; Diptera; Tephritidae. The record is from RefSeq and is a predicted model, not a curated record. The transcript has 5 exons.
AAGAUGCAAGCUCUAAUAAAACUUUGAGGCAACUGUGAAAUUCCAAUAUUGACAUUCCCAUUUUAUACUCAAAAAUUUUUCAUGAACAGUAAAUUAGCUUAACAUACAUGGAGUCAUUUAAUACAAAUGUUGGUGUCAAGUGGCACCCGCUGAGUGAAAAUAUACGCACAUCUCAGGUGAUAUUAUUGGAUUGAAUUUGGCAAGCUUCAUCCAUUUUCAAAGACUCAUGUGUCCGAAAUAUAUACGGUUUUGCAAAUAAAUUUGUUAGAAAAUAUCAUAAAGAGUGACAACAUUUUAGAACAGCUUCACAUAUGCAAAUACUCAGCACAGCGGAUGCGAUGAUUGUGGCCUCUACUAGCAGCACGACCGACGUAAUGGCUGAAUAAUCUCCGUAGGACACAGUAGGACCAUAUACCACUUCCCUAACGCCUUCCCACACAACUACUGGAAAAUAGAUGAGCUGGGGCGACAAUAGUAAUGCUCGAAGGUUUCAAUACCGGGGAGAACUCAUGUAGGUAGCAAAGUGGCAGCCACCUGCAACUCAGGCUUAGACGUUCCAUUACCUGAAUAUGAUCCGAUGAGAAUAACGAUUGCUCGUUUCAAGACCAAAUAGCAGUUGGACCCAAUGGCUUAUCAGCAGAGUUAUUUAAACAUCGACAAUAAACUGAUUGGACCUUACCAGUAUGGCUUUCGUCAUGAUCAACUGGCCGUAGAGGAUAUCCGAAAAAUCUCACUUCUUUAAAAAUGACAACAGCGAGAUGGUCACUGUCAAUAUGGAACAUUAUAGUAGCGUGAUAACCAACUUUUUUCGCUAUGCAUUUGAAGAACAACAAGAUGGGGCCCCACAACACGAUCGAAUAUGGCUUUAUUCCGAGAAAAAUCCGCGUAAUCUGCCGUCUUGCCGAUGUCAGUGCCACCGAUUGUGCGUUUAAACACCGUUGCAUUCUUUUUUUUGGCUAUGCGAAAGACCGUGUUUAUACGAAUGAACCUUUAACUCCUGAGCACUUGAAAACCAGCACUCGUCAAUUAUGGCUGAGAUACUGUCCAAUCAAUCUGAUGAAAAUUUGCUGAAAUUUACGAUUAUUUAUAAAAUUUUCUUCUAUUUAAUCUGCAUCAAUCUACAGUGCAUACAAUGCAAUAUGAAGCUAAUCAAUAUUCAAAUAUGUGCAAGAACAACGAAAAAACGACACACCAACAGAUAUAAUAUCAUAAGCAUUUGUUAAUGGAAAAAGUUAUGCGAACAAAAUCAACGAGAGUGACAAACAACGCUAGUAAAUGGUGACAGCAAUCACAACAGGUAACCGCAUACAAACACAACAAAAAAAAAACAAUAAUAAUAACAACAACAACACACAUUGCAAUAGCAACAACUAUGAGCAAACAAACGGAUUUAUGACUAAAGCACUUGCAGCGGCCAACAGCAGCAGCAGCAACAAAUAGCAGAGAAGAGUGCAGCAUACCAACAACCGGCUAUGAGACAUGCACAAACAGCAGAACAAAUAGCAAAUAUCAAUAACACUGUUAAAGGCAACACCAUGGAUGGUCAUAUAAGAAGAAGCGCCGUCCGCUGUGGCAACUUGUUAGUGGCAAAUGCAAAAAAACAAUAAGAAUUAAAACACAAAUGAAUGAAUUUAAUAAAAUAAAAUUAUAAUUCAAGCA